This 3601-nucleotide long non-coding RNA is filed under the name Sus scrofa (pig). Its description in RNAcentral is "lncRNA (ENSSSCG00000063325.1)". The record is from RNAcentral. Lineage: Eukaryota; Metazoa; Chordata; Mammalia; Artiodactyla; Suidae.
CUUCUUCUUUUUUUUUUUUUUUCUUUUUUCUUCCCUUUCCUUCCUUUCUUUUGGGUUUAGAGAAGCCCUUUCAAUAUUUCCUUUAACCUGGGUUUUGUGUUACUGUAUUUUUUAAGUUUUUGUUUGUUGGAAAAAAUUUUUAUUUCCCCUUCUAUUUUAAAUGAUAUUCUUGCUGGAUAGAGUAUUCUAGGUUGCAUAUUUUUUCCUUUGAGCACUUUAAAUAUCUCUUGCCAUUCCCUCGUGGCCUGUAGUGUUUCUGUAGAGAAAUCAGCUGAUAUUCUUAUGGGGGUUCCCUUGUAGGUAACAUUCUGUUUUUCUCUUGCUGCCUUUAGGAUCCUCUCUUUAUCACUAAUUUUGCCAUUUUUAUUAUGAUGUGUCUUGGUGUGGGUCUGUUUGGGUUCAGUUUGUUUGGGGCCCUCUGUGCUUCUUGUAUCUUGAAUCCAGUAUCCUUUAGACUUGGGAAGUUUCCAUCGAUAAUUUCUUCAAAUAUAUUUUCCAUUCCCUUAUCUUUUUCUACUCCUUCUGGAAUUCCUAUUAUGGGUAGAUUGGCCCGCUUUAUAUUAUCUCAUAGGUCUCUUAUAUUGCUUUCCAGUUUUUUGAUUCGGUUUUUUGUCUGUUGACCAGAUUGAGUGAUUUCCAUUAUUCUAUCUUCCAUAUCACUGAUUCGUUCUUCUGCAUUAUUCAUUCUGGUUUUUACUGCCCCUAGUUCAGUUUGCAUCUCUGCAAAUGAAUGUUCUAGUUUUUCUUGGCUCCUCCUUAUAUUUUCUAGUUCCUUUCUGAGGGUGUCUGCAUUACUGUUCAUAUCUUCUCUUAAUUCCUUCAGUAUUUUCAGUAUUUCUCUUUUGAAUUCCAGGUCUGUCAGACUGCAGAGAUCUGUUUCAUUGUUGACUGUUUUAGGUGAGUUCUCCUGUUGGUUUGACUGGGGGUGGUUUCUCAGCUUCUUCAUCUUGCUUGUUGUUUUCUUUCUCCUGAGGGAGUUGUACUCUCCGUUAUCGGGCAGUGUUUGCCUUGUCACUGCCGUGGAAUAUUUCCUGAGGGCUGGCGUUGUUGGUCAAUCUUUUUUGAGGCAGUGUGGCUUUUCUGGAGUGUUGAUGGGGCUAACAGUGUUUCUUUGAAGCAGAGGAGGACUUCCUGAGGGCAGACAGGACUGGGAGGUCCACACCACGAUGGUAGCAGAUUUCACUUGGUCAUGCAGAGCUUGCUCUGGUGUUUUUAGGCUGUGGGGUUCUUGCAGGGGGUUGGCGGUGUUGGGCAGCUGCUCUUCAGGGGUGCAUCACCCCCUGGGGGCUGGAGCAGCUAUCUGGGUCACUGAGAACCUAAGAGGCUCUUCCCUAGGGCAGCCCAACUCAGAAGGACAGCCUGAGAAUGUAGGCAGAUCUUUUCACAGUCUGGCUGAGCUUGUUGCAGCUUUUCUGGGCUGCAGGGGCUCUUCCAGGGGGCUGGUGGUGCUGAGCAGUUAUUUCACGGGAGUGGGGCACCCCCUGGGGGCUUGGGCGGGUAGCAGGGCCAUUGGAGACCCAAGAGGCUCCUCCCCAGGGCAGCCCGACUCAGAAAAACCAUCUGAGGUCUUUUCCCGACUCGGCCAGGCUUGUUGCAGCUUUUCUGGGCUGCAGGGUGUCCUGCCUGGAGCUGGCAGUCCUAUGCAGCUGGUCCACUAGAGCAUCCCCUGGGGGCUUGGGCAGGUAGCAGGGCCGUUGGAAACCUAAGAGGCUCCUCCCCGGGGCAACCCGACUCAGUAAAACCGUCGAGAAUUAGGCCGAUCUAUUCACAGCCUGGCUAAGCUUGUUCUAGCUUUUCUGGGCUGCAGGCCUUUUCUCGGGGGCUGGUGGUGUUUAGUGCUGCUCUGCGGAAGUGUAGCCCCUCCAAAGGGCAAGCAGGCUUGUGCAGGGACAGCCCCUGCGGUGGUAGGCUUCAGGCAAUUGUUGAGGCCAGCCCUCCUGGAUGGCAGGCAGCCCCAGGUCCGGUGAGAACGUAGGGCGUGGCGGGGGUGGGGGGAGGGGAUGCACUGGGAAGCACAGCUUUCAGCUAGCUAGCGGGCCUGUAAGCUUGCUGUGGCGUGGGGGGUAUUCUAUGGGGACCCACCCCUUCUUCUCUCCCCUCCCCAGCACGGGCGCAGACCAGGCUCUUCUCCCAGGUUCCCUCUGAUGCAGCUUUCCACUUUCCUGCCCCUGGAGUAUUGCUCCCUUCCUCUGCGACAUCUUUGUUUUCUAGUCUCCCAGGCAGUCUCUGCCCCAUCAAAUGGUUUCUAGACCUCCCAAGCAGUUUCCGCUCUGCCCUGCCCCCCUAGCCGGGGGACUAAUCUCUGGAGCCGAGGUCUCGGUGCCCAGCCCCCACCCAGGCGUCCCCCGGCCCUUUCCUGGGGACUAACCUCUGGAGCCGAGGAUUCAGUGCCCAGCCCCCACCCAGGCGGCGCCCCCCCGGCCCUUUCUCGGGGACUAACCUUCUGCAGCGAGGUCUCGGUGUUCAGCCCCCACCCAGGCGUCCCCCGGCCCCCUCUCGGGGACUAACCUCUGGAGCCGAGGAUUCGGUGCCCAGCCCCCACCCAGGCGUCUCAAUUUUUGGUGACUGUGCCCGUAGUUCAGAUGGUCCGUUGGGUUCUUGAUCGGCUUUUCCGUACUCCAACUUACUGCUACACUCUUCUCUGCAUCUGGAGAUUCCUCUGGUUCGUUUGAUCUUUCGCCCGGUAGGUGACUUUCCAGGGUGCGGGAUCCCUUUCUCCUCCGCAGUUCCCUUUCGGGAGCGCCCGUCCCGCUCGGAUUCACCUUCUCUCACUCUCCUCUUUUCUCCCGUUCUGCCCAAUAAUGUCACGAACUUCUUGCCGUUAUUGGAGUUUAGGUUCCUCUGCCAGCGAUUGGUUGCUGUUCUGUGCGAGUCAUUUAUUCUGUAGAUGUGCUUUUUUUGUUGUGUUUGUGGGAGAGGGCGAGCGUGUCCCCCUACUCCUCCGCCAUCUUGUCCUCUCUUCAGUAAUUCUUAAUGUAUAUGCAUCUAACAACAGAAUAUCAAAAUAUAAGAAACAAAAACUUCUAGAACUACAAGGAGAAAUAGAUAAAUCUACUCUCAUAGUUUGAGACUGUAACACCCCUCUAUGAUAAAUGGACAGUUUCAUCAGUUAGAAAAUCAGUAAGGGCACAUUUGAACCCAACAAUACCAAAAAUCAACCGGAUAUCAUGGACAUCUACAGACUGCUUUAUCCAACAAUAGCAGAAGACAUAUAACUCUCAAGCUUACAUUGACAUUCACCAGUAUAGACCAUAUUCUGGGUCAUAAAACGUACUUUAACGAAUUUGAAAAAUAGAAAGCAUAUUAUGCUCAUCUCAGACCACAGUGGAAAUUAAACUAGAAAUUAAUAACAGAAAGAUAGCUACAAAGUCCCAAAUACUUGGAUAUUAAAUAAUGAACCUCUAAAUAACACAUGGAUCAACAAAGUAAUCUCAAGAGAAAUUAAAAAAUAUUUUGAACUAAAUGAAAAGGAAAAAUGAAAUUUAUCAAAGUUUGUGGGAUGCUGUGAAAGUGGUGUUUAGAGGGAGAUUUCUAGUAUUGAAUGCCUAAUUAGAAAAGAAGAAAGAUCUAAAGUAGUAAUUUAAUCUCCUUCAUUAUAAAA